GCGAUCUGGUUGUUUGUAUAGCCUGCUAGGAAUAUGGUCGGAGGCGGCGCAUGUUGGCAAGCCUGUCGAAUCACGUUCACACAUAGCGAUCAAACGCCGAUUUUGCUAAGAUCGUGGGACUUCACUUGUAACACUUGACUAUACCUAUAAAAGAAAUGUUUUUUUUAUAGCUUUAAACAUAUCCAAAUAACAAAUGUCCCUCAAAUUUGAACACACAACAGGACCCCCCCUCCCUCUUUCCUCACCUUUAUUUGUGUGUUUGUGUUUACAGCUAGGGAGGAGGAUUUCCGUCGCUACUGUGCAUCAUUGUUUGCCGUCCCUGUCACCGGCGGCAGGACUCAGACUCAGAUUGCUACACCUGAACCGUGCCUCGUCAUAGAAGUCCUGGAUGAGGUGAGAAGUGACUGGAGCAUUUUAUUUCAACAGAAAUGUUUUACCUACAUAAACGUGCGCGCCGUGAAGCGCAGCAGAUGGAAAAAAACGGAGAGUGUGUCACACGUCAAUUCACAAUUGCACACAAGACCUCACAGACAACAGCUGUACUGUACUGUUUGUACUGUAUCUUUCUCCUAUACUGUCACAUUCACAUGUUACAGCACUGAUUUUCUUUUUCAACAGAAAAACAGAGACAUAAAUGGAGUCUGUGCUGAACAGAGGACAAACAACAAAGAGGUUCCCUUGUUGAAGCAGGUCUCCAGCGACGGAGGGGCAUCUGUGCCCCAAACGGCCUUAACCGGUGUUGGGUCCUCAGGAGUCGGCGUCUCUCCUCACAGUCCAACUCAAGCAUCCAGACACUCAUCCAGAGCACCAACAGAGCCUAAAACAGCUCUGGAGCUCGGUCCACCCAAGCCUCAGACGUCAAAAGCCGAACACGCAAUGAAAUCGUUACCCUCUAAAAGUUUGCCAUCACCAUGCCCGACUGCUGAGACAACAAGGACUUCACAGACAUCAAUCAAGACACCAAACUCCAAGUCACAAAAGCCCACUUGUUCCCCCGCUGUGCCCAAAUCAAAAGCUCACCAUGAAAUCCCUAACUUAUUAUGCUUCCCUCCCCUAUUUCCGUCUGAUGUGUCUCUGGCUGGUACCAGAUCACCGCUACCCAAAGAGCCUCUCUCCCCUUCUCCAUCUGCAUCCUUCUCGCUCAGGUCCAAAUCUGCACUCUCACCAUCAAGCUCUACUGAGGUAACUUUGUUUCCUGAAGUUCGCCAUUCAACCCCAUUACGACAACGCUCGGACUCAUCUCUGCAGCCAGAACAAUCACAAUCUUCCAAUUUAUUUCAAGAACCAAUCUCAUCCCCAAUGCUUUCUCAAUCAGCACCAAGCAAUCUGGAGGCCCCGGAGCAAUCCCAGCAUUCCUUGAGUGACCCAGACUCUUUCCUAUCAGAUAAUGAACUCAAGCUGCCGCAGUCUUCCGGGCCAAACCCACGACCAAAAUCCCUGGAACCAACGCAGUCACAGACAAACCCUGCACCGUUUAGCACGGCUGUAAAAACCCUAUCAAGUUCAUUUAACCAGUCCCCGUCAGAAGUAAAUUCUAGAGAAAAGUCAACUCCAUCAUAUGGGGAUGCUACGGUUUAUACGUCUUCUCCCUCCUUCUCUGGUGACCCUGAAUCAACCCAUCAAGCUCGGCAGGAUACAAAGUGCAUCCCAUCGAUUUCAUCACAUCCCUUAAAUGUCGUCCAGAAUCACCCUUUCACUGUGAGAAUGAAGGAGGAAGAGGAGCUAUCAAUGGACAGUGGAGAUGAAAUGUCCAGCGAUAGUCUGGAUCUGGCUUCACAUGACGGAGGCUCUUCAGAUGAAGACGCACAGAUGCGCGGACGUUUAACGAGACGGAGAUCCAGAGAAGGAGAGCAAGGGAUUUCUGCCACGUCUCAUCUCGGAGAUUCCUUUGUUCCUGCACAUGCAGACGUAGAAAAGGAUCUGCAGACUGAUGAGCCAGAACGGCUGUCAGAAGAACCAUACACGGUGACGCACAACUGGAGUGCUGGGUCUGGAUCAGAGCGAUUGUCUAGUCUGCGGGGGCUCUCCCCUCGCAGAGUGGAUUUGAAUUCUGCUCACUCUGACACGCCAGAACACACACACUUUGACCCAGGCUCAACAGGUACGUCAACGGAAGUGUUUGAACGUGCACAUGUGAAUUUUCAUGCACUUUUCUUUAUUUCUUUGUUCUCAACCGGCUCGUGUUUUCCUAUAAACUACAAACUGUUUCCCGUGCUCCAAGUGAUUAGAUUGUAA
Molecule: long non-coding RNA, 2235 nt
Organism: Scophthalmus maximus (turbot)
Lineage: Eukaryota; Metazoa; Chordata; Actinopteri; Pleuronectiformes; Scophthalmidae
Source: Ensembl